RNAcentral lists this non-coding RNA (28 nucleotides) under Homo sapiens (human). The record is from RNAcentral. Lineage: Eukaryota; Metazoa; Chordata; Mammalia; Primates; Hominidae.
UGACGUGCAACGUGUGCUUGUUGAUUGA